This 1125-nucleotide long non-coding RNA is filed under the name Equus asinus (donkey). Its description in RNAcentral is "lncRNA (ENSEASG00005031641.1)". Lineage: Eukaryota; Metazoa; Chordata; Mammalia; Perissodactyla; Equidae. The record is from RNAcentral.
CCACACGCGGCUAUUAGAGCGCUUGAAAUGUGGCUGGUGUGACUGAGGAACUGAGUUUUUAAUUUCAUCUGGUUUGAGUGAUUUAAAUGUAAACAGCCACAUGUGGCUGGUGGGUUCACUCUUGGACUGUGGGACCUGGGACUCUGAACCCCUGCUUUGUCCAUCCUUGUUUCCCCACACCAAGGGGAGCGCCUGGCAGACGAUACACUGCACCGUGAGGACCUUGUCUUACUUCUCUCCUUCCUGCCCUUUGUUGGUCCUGGAGAUCCAGAAGCUUAGUCAUUGCCGGCAUCAUUCACUCCCAUUUCCAGAUGAGGGUAUUGAGGCCCAGAGGGACCAAGUAACCUGCCCAGGGUUACACAGCCUGUUGCUGGGAAAGCACGGAUUUCAACCCAGGUCUCGCUGACUUCUUAGUGUACACAGUUCCCUGCGAACUCCGCCGUCUCUUGAACUUCUGUCCCUGCUCAAAGGCAAAGAGCCUCGUGGGUUUAUAAAAUGAUGUGCCCUGUUUGGUGGACAGAACAUUCUGGGGUCCAGGGAGGCCAGUAAUUACAAGGGUCCCUGGCUUUUUGAAGACUCAGACCCAGUGGUUCGAGCACGUCAGUUCACGGAGGAAAGCAGUUCAGUCCUAAGAUGUCAUCUGCCUAAGGUAGCGGCGGAGGAAGGUCGAAGAGCCAAGUGUCUCAAACUCGCCCGAGAGCACAAUAGCUAAGAACGUUGACUUUAGAGUGUAAAAUGCUGCAGCCCCUUUGGAGAACAGUUUGGCAAUGUCUCAUAAAGUUAGAUACACUUUGAUACAAUCCAGCCAUUGCACUCCUAGGCAUUUGCCCAAGAGACGAAGACACAGCCACACAGAGACUUGUAUUCAAAUGCUCACGGCAGGUUGAUUCCUAACGGUCCAGCCCGGAGAAAGCCCAAAUGCCCAAGCAGAGGUGGACGGACAAACAAACUGGGGCACAUCCGUGCAAUGGAACAGCACUCAGCAAUGAAAAGGAACGGACUGUGGACGCGCACAACAAAAAGGAGGCAUCACGAAACAUUGUGCUGAGGGAGAGAAGCGGGACGCAGGCAUCCAUCCUGGACGAUAGUUCACACAAGAUUCUAGAAGGAGCAAAACUAGUUAAU